UGGCUGUCGUCAGCUCGUGUCGUGAGAUGUUGGUUAAGUCCGCAACGAGCGCAACCCUUGCCAUUAGUUGCUACGAAAGGGACGACUCUAAUGGGACUGCCGGUGACAAACCGGAGGAAGGUGGGGAUGACGUCAAGUCCUCAUGGCCCUUAUAGGUGGGGCUACACACGUUAUACAAUGGCCGGUACAGAGGGUAGCCAACCCGCGAGGGGGAGCCAAUCCCACAAAGCCGGUCGUAGUCCGGAUCGCAGUCUGCAACUCGACUGCGUGAAGUCGGAAUCGCUAGUAAUCGCGGAUCAGCAUGUCGCGGUGAAUACGUUCCCGGGUCUU
RNAcentral lists this ribosomal RNA (330 nucleotides) under uncultured Allobrachymonas sp. RNAcentral describes it as "bacterial SSU rRNA". It matches the Rfam family "Bacterial small subunit ribosomal RNA", at positions 1046 to 1382 of the family's 1533-position model. The record is from RNAcentral. Lineage: Bacteria; Pseudomonadati; Pseudomonadota; Betaproteobacteria; Burkholderiales; Comamonadaceae.